Molecule: ribosomal RNA, 497 nt
Filed under: uncultured bacterium
Lineage: Bacteria
Description: partial 16S ribosomal RNA
Rfam family: Bacterial small subunit ribosomal RNA
Source: RNAcentral
GACGAACGCUGGCGGCGUGCCUAAUACAUGCAAGUAGAACGCUGAAGAGAGGAGCUUACUCUUCUUGGAUGAGUUGCGAACGGGUGAGUAACGCGUAGGUAACCUGCCUUGUAGCGGGGGAUAACUAUUGGAAACGAUAGCUAAUACCGCAUAACAAUGGAUGACACAUGUCAUUUAUUUGAAAGGGGCAAUUGCUCCACUACAAGAUGGACCUGCGUUGUAUUAGCUAGUAGGUGAGGUAAUGGCUCACCUAGGCGACGAUACAUAGCCGACCUGAGAGGGUGAUCGGCCACACUGGGACUGAGACACGGCCCAGACUCCUACGGGAGGCAGCAGUAGGGAAUCCUCGGCAAUGGGGGCAACCCUGACCGAGCAACGCCGCGUGAGUGAAGAAGGGUUUCGGAUCGUAAAGCUCUGUUGUAAGUCAAGAACGGGUGUGAGAGUGGAAAGUUCACACUGUGACGGUAGCUUACCAGAAAGGGACGGCUAACUACGUG